UACGUAGGGGGCAAGCGUUAUCCGGAAUCACUGGGCGUAAAGGGUGCGUAGGUGGCUGAUCAAGCCAGGGGUGAAAGGCAUUGGCUCAACCAAUGUAAGCCUUUGGAACUGAUCGGCUUGAGUGCAGGAGAGGUAAGUGGAAUUCCUAGUGUAGAGGUGAAAUUCGUAGAUAUUAGGAGGAACACCAGUGGCGAAGGCGACUUACUGGACUGUAACUGACACUGAGGCAUGAAAGCGUGGGUAGCAAACAGG
This 252-nucleotide ribosomal RNA is filed under the name uncultured Fusibacter sp. RNAcentral's name for it is "partial 16S ribosomal RNA". It matches the Rfam family "Bacterial small subunit ribosomal RNA", at positions 524 to 776 of the family's 1533-position model. The record is from RNAcentral. Lineage: Bacteria; Bacillati; Bacillota; Clostridia; Eubacteriales; Fusibacteraceae.